AGACCCGAAACCCGGUGAUCUAGCCAUGGGCAGGUUGAAGGUUGGGUAACACUAACUGGAGGACCGAACCGACUAAUGUUGAAAAAUUAGCGGAUGACCUGUGGCUGGGGGUGAAAGGCCAAUCAAACCGGGAGAUAGCUGGUUCUCCCCGAAAGCUAUUUAGGUAGCGCCUCGUGAAUUCAUCUCCGGGGGUAGAGCACUGUUUCGGCUAGGGGGCCAUCCCGGCUUACCAACCCGAUGCAAACUGCGAAUACCGGAGAAUGUUAUCACGGGAGACACACGGCGGGUGCUAACGUCCGUCGUGAAGAGGGAAACAACCCAGACCGCCAGCUAAGGUCCCAAAGUCAUGGUUAAGUGGGAAACGAUGUGGGAAGGCCCAGACAGCCAGGAUGUUGGCUUAGAAGCAGCCAUCAUUUAAAGAAAGCGUAAUAGCUCACUGGUCGAGUCGGCCUGCGCGGAAGAUGUAACGGGGCUAAACCAUGCACCGAAGCUGCGGCAGCGAACGUAUCACUUAAAGCGAUUCAGCGGGUUACGACUGACGGAGCGAAGCGACGUCAAAGCGUAUACAAAGUCGAGUCGGUUUAAGGAUACGUUCGUUGGGUAGGGGAGCGUUCUGUAAGCCUGCGAAGGUGGCCUGUGAGGGUUGCUGGAGGUAUCAGAAGUGCGAAUGCUGACAUAAGUAACGAUAAAGCGGGUGAAAAGCCCGCUCGCCGGAAGACCAAGGGUUCCUGUCCAACGUUAAUCGGGGCAGGGUGAGUCGACCCCUAAGGCGAGGCCGAAAGGCGUAGUCGAUGGGAAACGGGUUAAUAUUCCCGUACUUGGUGUUACUGCGAAGGGGGGACGGAGAAGGCUAUGUUGGCCGGGCGACGGUUGUCCCGGUUUAAGCGGGUAGGUGUGUGUUCCAGGUAAAUCCGGUUCACUUUAACACUGAGGCGUGACGACGAGGCACUACGGUGCUGAAGCAACAAAUGCCCUGCUUCCAGGAAAAGCCUCUAAGCAUCAGGUAACAUCAAAUCGUACCCCAAACCGACACAGGUGGUCAGGUAGAGAAUACCAAGGCGCUUGAGAGAACUCGGGUGAAGGAACUAGGCAAAAUGGUGCCGUAACUUCGGGAGAAGGCACGCUGACACGUAGGUGAAGUGAUUUACUCAUGGAGCUGAAGUCAGUCGAAGAUACCAGCUGGCUGCAACUGUUUAUUAAAAACACAGCACUGUGCAAACACGAAAGUGGACGUAUACGGUGUGACGCCUGCCCGGUGCCGGAAGGUUAAUUGAUGGGGUCAGCGCAAGCGAAGCUCCUGAUCGAAGCCCCGGUAAACGGCGGCCGUAACUAUAACGGUCCUAAGGUAGCGAAAUUCCUUGUCGGGUAAGUUCCGACCUGCACGAAUGGCGUAAUGAUGGCCAGGCUGUCUCCACCCGAGACUCAGUGAAAUUGAACUCGCUGUGAAGAUGCAGUGUACCCGCGGCAAGACGGAAAGACCCCGUGAACCUUUACUAUAGCUUGACACUGAACAUUGAGCCUUGAUGUGUAG
This 1531-nucleotide ribosomal RNA is filed under the name Salmonella enterica subsp. enterica serovar Blockley. Its description in RNAcentral is "partial 23S ribosomal RNA". It matches the Rfam family "Bacterial large subunit ribosomal RNA", at positions 711 to 2141 of the family's 2925-position model. The record is from RNAcentral. Lineage: Bacteria; Pseudomonadati; Pseudomonadota; Gammaproteobacteria; Enterobacterales; Enterobacteriaceae.